GACGAACGCUGGCGGCGUGCUUAACACAUGCAAGUCGAACGGUAAGGCCCUUCGGGGUACACGAGUGGCGAACGGGUGAGUAACACGUGGGUGAUCUGCCCUGCACUUCGGGAUAAGCCUGGGAAACUGGGUCUAAUACCGGAUAGGACUCCGGACUGCAUGGUCUGGGGUGGAAAGCUUUUGCGGUGUGGGAUGGGCCCGCGGCCUAUCAGCUUGUUGGUGGGGUGAUGGCCUACCAAGGCGACGACGGGUAGCCGGCCGUAGAGGGUGCCCGGCCACACUGGGACUGAGAUACGGCCCAGACUCCUACGGGAGGCAGCAGUGGGGAAUAUUGCACAAUGGGCGCAAGCCUGAUGCAGCGACGCCGCGUGAGGGAUGACGGCCUUCGGGUUGUAAACCUCUUUCAGCACAGACGAAGCGCAAGUGACGGUAUGUGCAGAAGAAGGACCGGCCAACUACGUGCCAGCCGCCGCCGUAA
Molecule: ribosomal RNA, 478 nt
Filed under: uncultured bacterium
Lineage: Bacteria
Description: partial 16S ribosomal RNA
Rfam family: Bacterial small subunit ribosomal RNA
Source: RNAcentral